Molecule: long non-coding RNA, 2067 nt
Filed under: Daphnia magna
Lineage: Eukaryota; Metazoa; Arthropoda; Branchiopoda; Diplostraca; Daphniidae
Description: uncharacterized LOC123474156
Source: RNAcentral
AGCCUUUCAGCAUUUUUCACCUUUUAGUACCUGUAAAAAAUAAAUUGCUUAUCCGUUUUUCUCCACCACAGAUGUGAUUUACUGAUCAGGCUAAUGGUAAAGACGCCCGUUGCUGGGGUGGAGAUAUCUCCCGUUCGAAGUACUAGUUGGUACUGUUGGCACAGCUUGCUCUAGUUGACUAGCUCGGCAAACGACAAACAAUUACAGAAGUUCCGUGAAAGCGCAACAGAAAACAAAACUAAUUAGAUUUAAAAAAAAAAACUAAAUUAAAGGAUUCCCGUUUAUACUUGAAUCUCUGAAUUUCGUCGACAACUUUCUCCUGCAGAAAAUCGAUGAGUGAGAUUGAAAAGGGACCCAGCACAAGGUAAAGGAUGGCAUGUUGCAUCAUCUUGUGUGUGACGGAUUCACUCGCUUAAAUCACUAAUGCGUUGUACAUGGCUCAAUAAUGUUUGCAAAUGUAAAGAUAUGAUCCCUUGUUUUGGUAACAUCAAUUAUGAGCUGUAAAUAGAAAAAUAAUUAACAUUUCCCCCUGGAUGCUGGAACAAUGAAAAAGUAGGCCUACUUUUUCAAACUAAUUGGGGAAAGUGAUGGAAAGAUGGCCGACUUCACCAACGUGUUGGGUGUCGAGACAAGGAUUGAUUUUUACACUGACUAGGGAAAGCAGGUCAAGAAAGAAAUUGACUGUCCGCCAUGAGGCUGUCCAAAACUCACCUCACCCCUUCUCCGCCCUCACUUACUUCACUCUGAAACAAGUCAACACGAUGUUCUAAGCAAUGGGGCGACGUUUCCAAUUUUAUGAAACCCAUUUAUCUCGUAAUUUUUUAGAAAUUUAUAACCGGAAAACUAAGUGGUGUAAUCAGGAUAUUCCAAAAGUGAGAGCUCGAGUUAUGAAAUCAUGCCGAAAUAAUAUUGCGAAAUUGGUGUUGGAUUAUUGGGACUCAUUUUAAAUUUCCGUUUCUGGCAUGAUAGAGGUCGGCGACGAACAUCACGAGCAGCAAACAGAUGAGGAACCAGAAAAAAUGCCAGGCUAAAGUAUCGAUCAGUUCGAUAGACUGCUGGGCAGAGAGGGCUGUGGUGACAAUUUUCAUCUUUUGAAGUUUGCAAGAUAUUUCCGGGCGAAAAUGUAGAACUGGUGCAGGGUGCUGCCUAUUUAUCAAUGUCCAGAUUGGCACAGGAAUCACAAACAACCUAAAACGUUUUCUCGAUACUGAAAUUGUUAACGUAUAAAAAUUCUCGAUCGACGAUUUGAACAUGAUCCGAUAAAAUGAGAACUUGUUCCCUAAAGCCGAAAUGGGACCUCCAUGACGAGACGUGAUUUGAUUUCAAAGAAACAAAUUCUCUUGGGGAAUGAAGAACUAAAUGGGGACUCAUCGUCUGCGAGUCUUUGUGUCAAGUGGUACACAGGAGAUUUCAUUUUAUUGAUCGGACAAGAUCGUCAAGGCCUAUUAUUCAAUCAAUGUUCCAUCAAACUGCUAAGAACGAAAAAAAGGAUUGGCGGCACAUUUUGUUGACGCCCUCUUGUUAUUCGUUGUUACGAUUUGAAUCCCUCCUCCCUGCGUUGUUGUGCGUGCCGGUACUGCAAAUCGACCAAACAGACUUUGACGACUGCUUUUUUCCACGAUUUGAAUAGUGCUGUUGUCGAUGUUGAUCCAAUAGAUUUUCGAUACAUUUGCAUAUAGAUGUUUUGAGGUUCGGCCAAUCCGACUAGCAAACGUUGUCGACUUUCUACCGAUUGAUAAUGCCCAGUUAACUACGGUUAAGUAAACUUCAACCAAUUCUCCAUCAGUUGAUCGAAAGGAAACAAGGUGAACCAGUUCCUGUUUUCAGCUUUACGGUAAGGCACGUGAUACAAGUUCUCGGGUGUGACAGACGGAGCUGAGGGAGACGAUCGAUGUCCGCAUUGACAUUUUGACGGUCUUCGUCCCUCCCUUCUAAACUACACUCGCCAAGGAUUAACAGGAAUUCUAUAGUACGCAGACGAGCACUGCCAACAUUCUUCUAUCACUACACGUAGUAAAUCGAUCUUUUCAGCGUCACCGUUUGGUGACUGUCGAAAAGAAAGAAGAA